UGAGGAAUAUUGGUCAAUGGGCGGGAGCCUGAACCAGCCAUGCCGCGUGAAGGCGAGUGCCUCACGGGCGUUAAACUUCUUUUGUGCGGGAGCAAUAAGGGCCACGUGUGGCCCGAUGAGAGUACCGCACGAAUAAGCAUCGGCUAACUCCGUGCCAGCAGCCGCGGUAAUACGGGGAUGGCGAGCGUUAUCGGAUUUAUUGGGUUUCGAAAUGGGUUGGCUGAUGAGGCGGCGGCGUUCAGGUCAGCGGUGAAAUACCGGGGCUCAACCCGGCCGGCUGCCGUUGAAACCGGAGCGCUAGAAUUCCGAUGCCGUCGGAGGAAUGUGUGGUGUAGCGGUGAAAUGCAUAGAUAUCACACAGAACACCGAUUGCGAAGGCAUCUGACGAAUCGGAGAUUGACGCUGAUGCACGAAAGCGUGGGUAUCGAACAGGAUUAGAUACC
RNAcentral lists this ribosomal RNA (443 nucleotides) under uncultured bacterium. RNAcentral's name for it is "bacterial SSU rRNA". It matches the Rfam family "Bacterial small subunit ribosomal RNA", at positions 355 to 786 of the family's 1533-position model. The record is from RNAcentral.